GCAGGUUCAGGAUAUGAAACUGUACUGAUUCACAGCCCGUGUUCAUGAGAAUUCUUUCCUAAACCUCAACCCUGGAUGACACCAUCUCGAUUCUCUCCCUCACUGAUGUUAAUAUUUAGGGGAAAGGAGAAAAUGUUUGCUACAAUCUGACCGCUGCUCACCUCUGAAAAAGAAGUGACAAAAGGCCAGAUGUCAGCUCCAGGCCCCAAUGUGUGUUAAAGCGAUCCACAGGACCAGGCUGCCUCUCCAGCACGCCAGGCGCACUAGGUGUUUAAUUUGGAAUCUGAUAGCUGCCUAAAUUUUGAGGUAUCCCGUAGGUGACGCACACAAAGAAUCCUCAAUGGCCACUGGCAGAAAAUCUUAGAAAAACAAUCCUCCUGGUUGUCGGAAUCACAACUACCACUUUCACUCCCCGCCUCCCUGUCACGGAAGAGGCUGUUGUGACUUGAAUUACAGGGGCCCAUGUGGACUACCUGCCGUCCAAAUGCGCAUGUGACAAUGGACACUCCUUUGCUGGCCGGCGGUGUUAUUUCAGACACUGUUGGACAGAUGGGCUCCGUUCCGAGCGGGGAAGAGCCACACCUCAGAGACGACAUGUUUUAUAGGGCUGUCUCCUCGCCGCACACAAAGUAUCCUCAUCAUUUUGCCAGGGUCGGGGCAGAUCCGAACAUCAGAAGGACGGUUUCUCCCCAGCAUCCUGUCUCCAGCCUCAGGGCCUGCAUGCAAUUUCAGGGAUCCCGGUUGUCGGCUGGCCCCCCGCCCGCUCCUGUGGCUGCCAUGUGUGGGGCAUGUGCCUGGGCCUCGGCAGCUGUUGGAACACAGUAAAUCCAUUCAUACUGACAUAUCCCAAUGACUAACACGGGCUUAGUGAGGAAACAGAAGCGUUUGACAAGCAGAAACAACUGAAUUACUUUUAGAGGGGUGAGGAAAUGACACCCCCAAAGGGCUUGAUCUCGCCAUUUGGUUUGGAUGGGGGACUCACCAUGGGAGGCCACCCGGAUGUCACCCCAGCCACCUACCAUCAUUAAUUCUGAGCAGAAGAGGAGCCCGGCCAGUGUUUCGGCAACAGGAAUGAGAGGUCUAAAGAGAUGGUUAUUGGAGACCACGCUGGACAUGAAGAAGAUAAAUCACUCAAACAGAUAAAUCACCAAAGACUUAAAGUGAGAGGCAGUGUCACUUUGUAGUUUGGAAUGUGGGCUUUGGAAUCAGACAGAACUGGAGUUCAAAUGCUGGUUCUGCCACUUAUCCCCUGAUGAGCCGUGAAACCCCUAAGCCUCUGUUUUCUCGCUUGUAAAAUGGGGAUAUGGUAAUGGCAUUCCUAGCUAAUGGAGCUCUUUCAGGAAUGAGUGAGACCAUCGGAUAAAGCACUCAGUACGACAGGUAACAGAAUUCACCUUGCGCUAACUGAUGUAGCUCCUGAAGCAGCGUGGAAUCAAAAGGAAGCUCGACCCUUACUGCUUCAAAACACACUUCCUCAUCAGGACCCCACCACCGCCACCUUCUUCAGAACCUGGAUCAUGAGCCACUAAUCAACGCCAACUGUUUGAAGAUGCAGGACAGAAGAAAUUCUGAAGGCUGCCGCUUCCUUAUACCUCCCUGAGAGCCGUCUUUGAGGA
This is a long non-coding RNA of Eubalaena glacialis (North Atlantic right whale), 1616 nucleotides long. RefSeq lists it as uncharacterized. The transcript is spliced from 4 exons. Lineage: Eukaryota; Metazoa; Chordata; Mammalia; Artiodactyla; Balaenidae. The record is from RefSeq and is a predicted model, not a curated record.